GACGAACGCUUGCGGCGUGCUUAACACAUGCAAGUCGAACGGAAAGGCCCUGCUUUUGUGGGGUGCUCGAGUGGCGAACGGGUGAGUAACACGUGAGUAACCUGCCCUUGACUUUGGGAUAACUUCAGGAAACUGGGGCUAAUACCGGAUAGGAGCUCCUGCUGCAUGGUGGGGGUUGGAAAGUUUCGGCGGUUGGGGAUGGACUCGCGGCUUAUCAGCUUGUUGGUGGGGUAGUGGCUUACCAAGGCUUUGACGGGUAGCCGGCCUGAGAGGGUGACCGGCCACAUUGGGACUGAGAUACGGCCCAGACUCCUACGGGAGGCAGCAGUGGGGAAUAUUGCACAAUGGGCGGAAGCCUGAUGCAGCAACGCCGCGUGCGGGAUGACGGCCUUCGGGUUGUAAACCGCUUUCGCCUGUGACGAAGCGUGAGUGACGGUAAUGGGUAAAGAAGCACCGGCUAACUACGUGCCAGCAGCCGCGGUGAUACGUAGGGUGCGAGCGUUGUCCGGAUUUAUUGGGCGUAAAGGGCUCGUAGGUGGUUGAUCGCGUCGGAAGUGUAAUCUUGGGGCUUAACCCUGAGCGUGCUUUCGAUACGGGUUGACUUGAGGAAGGUAGGGGAGAAUGGAAUUCCUGGUGGAGCGGUGGAAUGCGCAGAUAUCAGGAGGAACACCAGUGGCGAAGGCGGUUCUCUGGGCCUUUCCUGACGCUGAGGAGCGAAAGCGUGGGGAGCGAACAGGCUUAGAUACCCUGGUAGUCCACGCUGUAAACGGUGGGUACUAGGUGUGGGGUCCAUUCCACGGGUUCCGUGCCGUAGCUAACGCUUUAAGUACCCCGCCUGGGGAGUACGGCCGCAAGGCUAAAACUCAAAGGAAUUGACGGGGCCCCGCACAAGCGGCGGAGCAUGCGGAUUAAUUCGAUGCAACGCGUAGAACCUUACCUGGGUUUGACAUGGAUCGGGAGUGCUCAGAGAUGGGUGUGCCUCUUUUGGGGUCGGUUCACAGGUGGUGCAUGCCUGUCGUCAGCUCGUGUCGUGAGAUGUUGGGUUAAGUCCCGCAACGAGCGCAACCCUUGUUCACUGUUGCCAGCACGUUAUGGUGGGGACUCAGUGGAGACCGCCGGGGUCAACUCGGAGGAAGGUGGGGAUGACGUCAAGUCCUCAUGCCCCUUAUGUCCAGGGCUUCACGCAUGCUACAAUGGCUGGUACAGAGAGUGGCGAGCCUGUGAGGGUGAGCGAAAAAUCGGAAAGCCGGUCUCAGUUCGGAUUGGGGUCUGCAACUCGACCUCAUGAAGUCGGAGUCGCUAGUAAUCGCAGGUCAGCAACCCUGCGGUGAAUACGUUCCCGGGG
This 1345-nucleotide ribosomal RNA is filed under the name uncultured bacterium. RNAcentral's name for it is "bacterial SSU rRNA". It matches the Rfam family "Bacterial small subunit ribosomal RNA", at positions 28 to 1379 of the family's 1533-position model. The record is from RNAcentral.